RNAcentral lists this ribosomal RNA (59 nucleotides) under Krameria revoluta. RNAcentral's name for it is "partial 25S ribosomal RNA". Lineage: Eukaryota; Viridiplantae; Streptophyta; Magnoliopsida; Zygophyllales; Krameriaceae. The record is from RNAcentral.
GCAACCCCAGGUCAGGSGGGAACUACCCGCUGAGUUUAAGCAUAUCAAUGAGCGGAGGA